Molecule: ribosomal RNA, 1321 nt
Filed under: Gadilida sp. NHM_132
Lineage: Eukaryota; Metazoa; Mollusca; Scaphopoda; Gadilida
Description: SSU rRNA
Rfam family: Eukaryotic small subunit ribosomal RNA
Source: RNAcentral
AACCGCGAAUGGCUCAUUAAAUCAGUCGAGGUUCCUUAGAUGGUGCAUAUCCUACUCGGAUAACUGUGGCAAUUCUAGAGCUAAUACGUGCAAACAAGCUCCGACCCUCCCUUCGCGGGGCGGGGAAGAGCGCUUUUAUUAGAACAAAACCGACGCGGGUGUCCGGUCUCGCCGUUUCGGCGGCGCAGCAGCGGCCCGGUCUCAGCUUUGGUGACUCUGAAUAACAUUCCGCAGAUCGCACGGCCCUCGAGCCGGCGACGCAUCUUUCAAGUGUCUGCCCUAUCAACUGUCGACGGUACGCGACAUGCCUACCGUGGUUGUAACGGGUAACGGGGAAUCAGGGUUCGAUUCCGGAGAGGGAGCAUGAGAAACGGCUACCACAUCCGAGGAAGGCAGCAGGCGCGCAAAUUACCCACUCCUCGAACGGGGAGGUAGUGACGAAAAAUAACGAUGCGGGACUCUAUCGAGGCCCCGUAAUCGGAAUGAGUACACUUUAAACCCUUUAACGAGGAUCAAUUGGAGGGCAAGUCUGGUGCCAGCAGCCGCGGUAAUUCCAGCUCCAAUAGCGUAUAUUAAAGUUGUUGCAGUUAAAAAGCUCGUAGUUGGAUCUCGGAGCCGAACGCGUGGUCCGCCUCGCGGCGGUUUUACUGCGUGGGUUGGCGGGUUUCCCUUCGGGGGCUCGUCGCUCUUUGAGUUCGGCCUUACUGCCGGUGGUCCCUCGGUGCCCUUCGCGGGUUGACGGGGAGCCCCAGCGCUCGAGGUGCUCUUGACUGAGUGUCCCGCAGCGACCGGCGAGUUUACUUUGAAAAAAUUAGAGUGCUCAAAGCAGGCCUUGUUGCCGCCCGAAUAGUGGUGCAUGGAAUAAUGGAAUAGGACCUCGGUUCUAUUUUGUUGGUUUUCGGAGCCAGAGGUAAUGAUUAAAAGGAACAGACGGGGGCAUUCGUAUUGCGGCGUUAGAGGUGAAAUUCUUGGAUCGUCGCAAGACGGACUACUGCGAAAGCAUUUGCCAAGCAUGCUUUCAUUAAUCAAGAACGAAAGUCAGAGGUUCGAAGACGAUCAGAUACCGUCGUAGUUCUGACCAUAAACGAUGCCGACUGGCGAUCGGCCGGAGUUGCUACAAUGACUCGGCCGGCAGCCUCUGGGAAACCGUGAGUCUAUGGGUUCCGGGGGAAGUAUGGUUGCAAAGCUGAAACUUAAAGGAAUUGACGGAAGGGCACCACCAGGAGUGGAGCCUGCGGCUUAAUUUGACUCAACACGGGAAAACUCACCCGGCCCGAACACCGUGAGGAUUGACAGAUUGAGAGCUCUUUCUCGAUUCGGU